Molecule: non-coding RNA, 84 nt
Filed under: pig gut metagenome
Description: Glycine riboswitch
Rfam family: Glycine riboswitch aptamer
About the family: This family represents the bacterial glycine riboswitch. Glycine riboswitches usually consist of two metabolite-binding aptamers domains with similar structures in tandem. The aptamers cooperatively bind glycine to regulate the expression of downstream genes.
Source: RNAcentral
GAACUCCGGAGAAGCUCAUUUCGAUGAGUGCCGAAGGGGCAAGGCCGUACCCGGCUGAAACUCUCAGGCAAAAGGACGGAGCAG